Molecule: non-coding RNA, 117 nt
Filed under: Scrippsiella hangoei
Lineage: Eukaryota; Dinophyceae; Peridiniales; Peridiniaceae
Source: RNAcentral
CCUGUCUGCGAAGCCGUGCUUCCCCUGCCCCCGGAGGGAAAGCGACAUUGCCCUCACGGCGUCGGCCCAACAUCUAUAUCGGGGGCAUGAGGAGAGUGACUCACGGCAUGUCUGUGC